Molecule: unclassified non-coding RNA, 154 nt
Filed under: Aureobasidium pullulans
Lineage: Eukaryota; Fungi; Ascomycota; Dothideomycetes; Dothideales; Saccotheciaceae
Also listed under: 2 other names
Description: sequence contains ITS2
Source: RNAcentral
CACCACUCAAGCUAUGCUUGGUAUUGGGUGUCGUCCUUAGUUGGGCGCGCCUUAAAGACCUCGGCGAGGCCUCCCCGGCUUUAGGCGUAGUAGAAUUUAUUCGAACGUCUGUCAAAGGAGAGGAACUCUGCCGACUGAAACCUUUAUUUUUACA